Molecule: small RNA, 27 nt
Filed under: Arabidopsis thaliana (thale cress)
Lineage: Eukaryota; Viridiplantae; Streptophyta; Magnoliopsida; Brassicales; Brassicaceae
Description: ATSL055760
Source: RNAcentral
CAUGCAUGUACUGUGGAUUGUCUACUU